CAUUGAAACACCAGUUCCUGUAUGAUCACCGAAGUUAAGCAAUGUUGAGCCUGGUCAGUUCCCAGAUGGAUGACUGCUUGUGAAUAACACAUGCUGUAAG
Non-coding RNA from Acanthosepion pharaonis, 100 nucleotides. Lineage: Eukaryota; Metazoa; Mollusca; Cephalopoda; Sepiida; Sepiidae. The record is from the annotation of a GenBank genome assembly.